AAUGAAGAAUGACUGCUGAUGGAUGUGGGGUUUCUUUUUGAUCGACAAAAAUGCUCCAAAAUUGAUGGUGGUGAUGGUUAUACAACUCUGCCAGCACACCAAAAACCCGUGAAUUGUGCACUUGGAACGAGUUGUCUGUGUGUGAAUUACAUCUCCGUAAAGCUGUUAUAAAGGCCAUUUGGAGGGUGACUGGCAUGUGAUCUUCAUGGCGUAAGCGUUAGCUCUGAUGAUGAUGGGGGCAGUGGGGUGGUGGUGGUUGCCCGUAACUGUUCGAAACACGCAGUGUGUCUUACUGUGAAGCAUUCUGUUGUAUAGGAUCUCCUCUAUCGAAGGUCUAGGUCACUAGUGGAUUAUGAAAAUGCUAAUAAAGCACUGGAUAAAGCAAGAGCGAAAAAUAAAGAUGUUCUUCAGGCUGAGACAUCCCAACAAUUAUGUUGUCAGAAAUUUGAAAAAAUAUCUGAAUCUGCAAAACAAGAACUUAUAGAUUUUAAGACGAGAAGAGUUGCCGCAUUCAGAAAAAAUUUAGUGGAACUGGCAGAGUUAGAACUGAAGCAUGCAAAGGGUAACCUACAGUUGCUGCAGAACUGCUUGGCAGUGUUAAAUGGAGACACAUAAGCCACACUCCGCCUUUGGUUAAAAAGGGCUGCCUUCCUUCAGAUUUUAUUUUUGUUUUCUUAAUGAGAUUAGGCAUUUACUGCUCACUGGAAACAAAAGAAACAGCUGACCAAGUGCAUCUACUCUCCUUUUUUUCUGAGAAGCGAUGGAGCGGUGCCGUCCACGGGUUUUGCGGGUCCGUCCGUCUGUGUGGUGGAACGCUGCCCUCCUGCAGCUCCCCGUGUGCUCCCUGGGACGGUUGUCCAUCACCGUGCGCUCCUCCUCUUCCGAAGCCCAGCGUUCAGUCCUUUUUUUAAGUAGCCUCUGUAACCGUCUUUAUUUUCUGAAUAGCGUUCCUUACGGCUGCCAAUCUUAUUUCCCUUUAAGUAAUUUCUGAUGUUUAACCCUUUCAAAGAUGCAUUGUUCAGACAAGAUAAAGGUUGCCAUUACCUUUUGUUUUCUCUUGGUGUUUUUGUUAUGUUUUGUUUUGUUUUUUUAAAAACAUUGUAUGCCACCUUAGUUCAUCCAUGUAUCCUGGUAAAAGCAUCUUAAUCAGACUUAUUUUUAAUUAAUGAACAUUUCUUAGAAGUUUUGGGACAGACUUUAUGUAAUCUUUAUAAGUAUGAUUUCUGAUGAAAAGCAACUGCAUUAGUAUGUUUGCCUUAAACUUGUAGACUAAACCGACUAUUGUCAAAUAAACCGUGGUAACAGUGAUAGUUUUUAACUCUGUGGUCAUUGUAUCACUCUAAAAUUUGGAGUAGCUAUAAUCAAUCUACUCCUUCGUUAUGCUUUACAGUGCAGGUCUUUUCUCUUUUUUCUCUGAAAAUGGCAUGUUGAACCAGGUUCACCAAUCCCCUUAUGAAAGAAUGAACUGCUUCUCUGUGUGCUCUCAGCCUUUCCUAGAAGAUGGAAUUGGGCAGAGGCAGGUUCGAAACAGCUGUUUCUAAAAUACAGGAGGCAGCAGAAUGGUCCGUCUGUGAUGGUUUCCUGAAUUCCAUCCCUAGCCGGGCCAGUUAACCCUGCGACACGCCAUCGAGCCACUUGAUAGUUCUACUAGUGUACAGAUUGGUAUGGAGAGAGAAAGAGUGCUGUAAGGAACAGCCCUGGGGGGGGGGGGGGGGGGGGGGGGA
This is a long non-coding RNA of Panthera uncia (snow leopard), 1724 nucleotides long. RefSeq lists it as uncharacterized. Lineage: Eukaryota; Metazoa; Chordata; Mammalia; Carnivora; Felidae. The transcript has 3 exons. The record is from RefSeq and is a predicted model, not a curated record.